GAUGAACGCUAGCGGCAGGCUUAAUACAUGCAAGUCGAGGGGCAGCACAGAUAGCAAUAUUGGGUGGCGACCGGCAAACGGGUGCGGAACACGUACACAACCUUCCUUUUAGUGUGGGAUAGCCCAGAGAAAUUUGGAUUAAUACCACAUAGUAUAUUGGAGUGGCAUCACUUUGAUAUUAAAGAUUUAUCGCUAAAAGAUGGGUGUGCGUAUGAUUAGGUAGUUGGUAGAGGUAACGGCUCACCAAGCCUUCGAUCAUUAACUGGUGUGAGAGCACGACCAGUCACACGGGCACUGAGACACGGGCCCGACUCCUACGGGAGGCAGCAGUAAGGAAUAUUGGUCAAUGGACGGAAGUCUGAACCGGCCAUGCCGCGUGAAGGAUGACGGCCCUCUGGGUUGUAAACUUCUUUUAUGUGGGACGAAAAAGGGCCAUGUUUGGUCAACUGACGGUACCAUAGGAAUAAGCACCGGCCAACUCCGUGCCAGCAGCCGCAGUAA
RNAcentral lists this ribosomal RNA (501 nucleotides) under uncultured bacterium. RNAcentral's name for it is "partial 16S ribosomal RNA". It matches the Rfam family "Bacterial small subunit ribosomal RNA", at positions 28 to 523 of the family's 1533-position model. The record is from RNAcentral.